This 1346-nucleotide ribosomal RNA is filed under the name uncultured bacterium. Its description in RNAcentral is "partial 16S ribosomal RNA". It matches the Rfam family "Bacterial small subunit ribosomal RNA", at positions 28 to 1381 of the family's 1533-position model. The record is from RNAcentral.
GACGAACGUUGGCGGCGUGCUUAACACAUGCAAGUCGAACGGAAAGGCCCUGCUUUUGUGGGGUGCUCGAGUGGCGAACGGGUGAGUAACACGUGAGUAACCUGCCCUUGACUUUGGGAUAACUUCAGGAAACUGGGGCUAAUACCGGAUAGGAGCUCCUGCUGCAUGGUGGGGGUUGGAAAGUUUCGGCGGUUGGGGAUGGACUCGCGGCUUAUCAGCUUGUUGGUGGGGUAGUGGCUUACCAAGGCUUUGACGGGUAGCCGGCCUGAGAGGGUGACCGGCCACAUUGGGACUGAGAUACGGCCCAGACUCCUACGGGAGGCAGCAGUGGGGAAUAUUGCACAAUGGGCGGAAGCCUGAUGCAGCAACGCCGCGUGCGGGAUGACGGCCUUCGGGUUGUAAACCGCUUUCGCCUGUGACGAAGCGUGAGUGACGGUAAUGGGUAAAGAAGCACCGGCUAACUACGUGCCAGCAGCCGCGGUGAUACGUAGGGUGCGAGCGUUGUCCGGAUUUAUUGGGCGUAAAGGGCUCGUAGGUGGUUGAUCGCGUCGGAAGUGUAAUCUUGGGGCUUAACCCUGAGCGUGCUUUCGAUACGGGUUGACUUGAGGAAGGUAGGGGAGAAUGGAAUUCCUGGUGGAGCGGUGGAAUGCGCAGAUAUCAGGAGGAACACCAGUGGCGAAGGCGGUUCUCUGGGCCUUUCCUGACGCUGAGGAGCGAAAGCGUGGGGAGCGAACAGGCUUAGAUACCCUGGUAGUCCACGCUGUAAACGGUGGGUACUAGGUGUGGGGUCCAUUCCACGGGUUCCGUGCCGUAGCUAACGCUUUAAGUACCCCGCCUGGGGAGUACGGCCGCAAGGCUAAAACUCAAAGGAAUUGACGGGGCCCCGCACAAGCAGCGGAGCAUGCGGAUUAAUUCGAUGCAACGCGUAGAACCUUACCUGGGUUUGACAUGGAUCGGGAGUGCUCAGAGAUGGGUGUGCCUCUUUUGGGGUCGGUUCACAGGUGGUGCAUGGCUGUCGUCAGCUCGUGUCGUGAGAUGUUGGGUUAAGUCCCGCAACGAGCGCAACCCUUGUUCACUGUUGCCAGCACGUUAUGGUGGGGACUCAGUGGAGACCGCCGGGGUCAACUCGGAGGAAGGUGGGGAUGACGUCAAGUCAUCAUGCCCCUUAUGUCCAGGGCUUCACGCAUGCUACAAUGGCUGGUACAGAGAGUGGCGAGCCUGUGAGGGUGAGCGAAUCUCGGAAAGCCGGUCUCAGUUCGGAUUGGGGUCUGCAACUCGACCUCAUGAAGUCGGAGUCGCUAGUAAUCGCAGAUCAGCAACGCUGCGGUGAAUACGUUCCCGGGGCU